Long non-coding RNA from Phyllostomus hastatus (greater spear-nosed bat), 1662 nucleotides. RefSeq lists it as uncharacterized. The transcript is spliced from 4 exons. Lineage: Eukaryota; Metazoa; Chordata; Mammalia; Chiroptera; Phyllostomidae. The record is from RefSeq and is a predicted model, not a curated record.
GUGGAUGUCCACUCUAGCUGAGUCCCAGCUAGCUCUUCAGUCCUCAGCGCACCUUUGCAAAAUCUCCACGCCCAUCCCAGUCAUUCUGCCUGCAGAAACCAUCGGGGACUUCGGCAAAAUGAUGGAAAGCCUGACACCUGGCGAGUCCCGAGAUUACAGGUCCAGCCGGUGGCCACGCCAGGAUGGAGCCCCAGUCCCACUGCGCACCGGAUGGUGCCUUUAACAGUUUGCCAGGCUGACCCUACUGGCCAGGAUUGCCAGCCACAUUGUAGGCUGCGCAUGUGUUAUCUACACACUGAGUAAUAAGAGAAUAAAUAGUAUCUCUGAAAAAAAAUGCAUCUCGUGGAGAUAGUAGGAUGAAGUCAUUUCAAAUAUGAAUGCCAAGAGACCCACCCAAGGAAGCAACCAUAAUCUGAUGACUCCAGGUGGACUUACCUGAAUAAGAAAGGCAAAGGAAAUCCUGAAACAAGAAGAGGUGCUUGUUUUUAAAGCUAAGAAUCUGGGAGCUGUGCCCAAUGUGCAGAGCACCGUGAGGACAUGCGUGGAAAUAGACACGAGAGAAGAGAAGAGGAGUGUGGAGGAGAGAGACGGAGGGGAGUAGGAGAGAUGAAGGAAGAGGACGUGUAGCCCGUGGCCAGAAGCUGACAGACCGUGAGGCUAAUGAAGCUCAGGAUUUGGUUUCCUAAUUGCAGGUGAUCCCUCUAAAAAUUUCCUUGUUACUUAAUUUCGUAUUUUUUAAAGUCCUCAAAAACUUUUGGCCUCACAAAACUUGGAUCGCCCCUCCAGUGGAACAAGGCAACAGAUGAAAACACGGAUCGGGGAGCUGUGGGGGCGUCAGCUCAUGGAAACGUAACACUCGGAGUCUCCGCUUUCUGCCUUGGGUCAGUGUUCUGUGGCCACAGACUGGAUCCCUGAGGUCGACACCACGCUGGCGCGUCCCAUUCACCACCAGGGAAACAAACCCACUGCGGUUUCAGCACGUCUCCUAAGCAGCUUUCUCUGUGCGUGGCCUGUGGCCAGGAGUGGUUCUCCAAUAGCUCGUCUACUUGAGGAUGUUCUUCCCUAAGCACGGUGGCAAACCACCUGUUUAUCCGCUCCACCUCCCACUCCAGGAAGUCAGAGGACCACGAGUAAAACAUACCUAGAAGUAAGACCUUGUUUUAUCAGGUCACCACGCUGCCAUGAGUCAGAUUCUGGCCUUGCUUUUCCUCUGCCAUCACGAUCCAUAUCUGCCACGCCCCUGCCCAGUGUGUGUGUUCUAGCACAUACAGUCACUUCUUGGAAUUCAGCUGCUGGAGAGAUGGGGCCGACGUGGGACAAGGGAGCAAGCAAAGAGCGAGCCGUGCUAUUAGAAUGUGUUCUGCUAUUGGAAGGGAACACAGAGGAGCCCCACCAUAUUAAAACCAGAUUUAUCUUCCAACCCAAUAAUGUCCAACUAUGUCUUUAAUACCUUUUAAAAAUGUUGAGGAGCCUUGGCCAGCGUGAAUCUGUUGGCUGGGCAUCGUCCUACAAAGCAGAAGGUCACCAGUGCAAUUCCCAGUCAGGGAACGUGCAGGGUUGCAGGCCUGGUCCCUUGUUGGGGCAUAUAAGAGGCAACCGAUCAAUGCUUCUCUCUCACACUGAUGGUUCUCUCCGUCUCUUCCUCCCUACGUUCCCCUCUAA